RNAcentral lists this long non-coding RNA (230 nucleotides) under Hordeum vulgare. RNAcentral's name for it is "long non-coding RNA (HVUL_LNC013490)". Lineage: Eukaryota; Viridiplantae; Streptophyta; Magnoliopsida; Poales; Poaceae. The record is from RNAcentral.
UAUUGGUUGUUUAAAUCAUCUAAGAUCAAUUACAUAAAGGUUGAUUUGACUGUGGUACUACAUCAAUUAGUACUCCUCAUCAUGUGGAAGCUACCACGACAAAGUCCCAUUGAAGUAACUACGUACUAUUACCAGCAAAGUCUACACAGAAAGGGUGCUCCGAUUCAUUAGUGGCGCAUCCAGUUAAACAAGCAAGAGGCAAAGAAGAAAAGGGCCACGAUACAGAGGAG